This 1314-nucleotide long non-coding RNA is filed under the name Callithrix jacchus (white-tufted-ear marmoset). Its description in RNAcentral is "lncRNA (ENSCJAG00000079481.1)". Lineage: Eukaryota; Metazoa; Chordata; Mammalia; Primates; Cebidae. The record is from RNAcentral.
UCAGGAACUUCUGGUUGCCAGAACUACGAGACAAUACAUACGUUGUUUGAUCCAGCCAGUUUGUGGUCUUUUGUUAAGGCAGCCCUAGCAGAACAAUGCAGAUGGCCCCUCCUUUUAAAUCGUGUAGCCAGUAUCUUUUGCUCCUCUGAAAUAAACCCGGUUCUAGGAAGACUUCAGUGCCACCAGGUCUGCUUACCCAAAUCCAUUGACAAGAACCACACAUUUGCACUACAUGGUGGAGAAACUGAGAUUCAGACAAGGAGCUUCUUGUUCAGCAAACACUACUUAGCCAAUAAUCUAAAUGGAAGUUAAUGGAGAAUUGUUUGACUCAGUGCUAUGGUCUGAAUGUUGUGUCCCUCCCAAAUUCAAAUUCAAAUCCUAACCCCAAGGUGGUGAUAUGAGGAGGUGGAGUCUUUGGAAGGUGAUUAUAUCAUGGGAGUGGAACUGUCAUGAAUGGGAUCAGUGCCCUUGUAUAAAAGCCUCCUCAACCCUUCAACUAUGUGAGGACACGGCAAGAAGAUGCCAUCUAUGAACUGGAAAGUAGGCCCUCAUCAGACUCAGACCUACUGACACCUUGAUCUUGGACUUCCCAGUCUCCAGAACCUUGAGAAAUAAAUUUCUGCUGUUUAUAAGAGGCUUGGUUUAUGGUAAUUUGUUAUAGCAUCCUGAAUGGACUAAAACACCUAUGGUAUUAAGAAUUUUGAGGCCGGGCAUGGUGGCUCAUGCCUGUAAUCCCAGCCUUGGGAGGCUGAGGUAGGUGGAUCAAUUGAGCUCAGGAGUUCGAGACCAGCCUGGGCAAUAUAGUAAGACCUCAACUCUAUUCUAAUUUUUUUUAAUUAAAAGAAAAAAGGAUCUGAAAAUUCUAAAUCUGCUUUCUCCUCUAUUAAAAAAUUUUCAGGGCCGGGCGCGGUGGCUCACGCCUAUAAUCCCAGCACUUUGAGAGGCCGAGGUGGGUGGAUCAUGAGGUCAAGAGAUCGAGACCAUCCUGGUCAACAUGGUGAAACCCUGUCUCUACUAAAAAUACAAAAAUUAGCUGGGCAUGGUGGCGCGCACCUGUAGUCCCAGCUACUCAGGAGGCUGAGGCAGCAGAAUUGCCUGAACCCAGGAGGCGGAGGUUGCGGUGAGCCGAGAUUGUGCCAUUGCACUCCAGCCUGGGUAACAACAGCAAAACUCUGUCUCAAAAAAAAAAAAAAAAUCUUCAGAUGGCAGCUCUUAGUAUACUAGAGUCACAUUCUGAAUAUUUGUAGCCAUUGUCCACAAGGGCAGUCAGAAGACUUAAGUUAGUGGUUUCCAAACUUACUUUUUGGUCUAGAA